AUAACUAAAAAUUCAUGAAAACAUAUAAUCUCCAUAAUAAGGUUGGAGAGUUUCUACCGUCUUACCGUAAAUAAGCGUGGCAUAGUCCUUAGUUAUGUUGUCA
RNAcentral lists this non-coding RNA (103 nucleotides) under Streptococcus intermedius. RNAcentral describes it as "Guanine sequence". The stretch from base 7 to 98 matches the Rfam family "Purine riboswitch aptamer". Rfam says of the family: Riboswitches are metabolite binding domains within certain messenger RNAs that serve as precision sensors for their corresponding targets. Lineage: Bacteria; Bacillati; Bacillota; Bacilli; Lactobacillales; Streptococcaceae. The record is from RNAcentral. RNAcentral also lists the same sequence under 1 other name.